GGCUCCACAGUGUAGUGGUUAGCACAUCUGCUUUACAUGCAGAAGGUCUUGGGUUUGUGCCCCAGAUAGAGCCA
This 74-nucleotide transfer RNA is filed under the name Pteropus alecto (black flying fox). It matches the Rfam family "tRNA". From Rfam's summary of the family: Transfer RNA (tRNA) molecules are approximately 80 nucleotides in length. The record is from Rfam by way of RNAcentral. Lineage: Eukaryota; Metazoa; Chordata; Mammalia; Chiroptera; Pteropodidae.